Molecule: ribosomal RNA, 699 nt
Filed under: uncultured bacterium
Lineage: Bacteria
Description: bacterial SSU rRNA
Rfam family: Bacterial small subunit ribosomal RNA
Source: RNAcentral
AACGCUAGCUACAGGCUUAACACAUGCAAGUCGAGGGGCAGCGGAGAGGAAAGCUUGCUUUCCUCUGCCGGCGACCGGCGCACGGGUGAGUAACACGUAUGCAACCUGCCUCUGUCCGGGGGAUAAUCGGAGGAAACCCCGUCUAAUACCGCGUAAAUCGCCGUGGGGCAUCCCGGGGCGAGGAAAGGUCGCAAGACCGGACAGAGAUGGGCAUGCGGCGCAUUAGGUAGUUGGGGGUGUAACGGACCACCAAGCCGACGAUGCGUAGGGGUUCUGAGAGGAAGGUCCCCCACACUGGUACUGAGACACGGACCAGACUCCUACGGGAGGCAGCAGUGAGGAAUAUUGGUCAAUGGGCGAGAGCCUGAACCAGCCAAGUAGCGUGCAGGAUGACGGCCCUAUGGGUUGUAAACUGCUUUUAUACAGGAAUAAAGUUAGCCACGUGUGGUUAUUUGUAGGUACUGUAUGAAUAAGGACCGGCUAAUUCCGUGCCAGCAGCCGCGGUAAUACGGAAGGUCCAGGCGUUAUCCGGAUUUAUUGGGUUUAAAGGGAGCGUAGGCCGUCUGUUAAGCGUGUUGUGAAAUGUAGAUGCUCAACAUCUGAAUUGCAGCGCGAACUGGCAGACUUGAGUGUGCGCAACGUAGGCGGAAUUCGUGGUGUAGCGGUGAAAUGCUUAGAUAUCACGAAGAACUCCGAUUG